Molecule: ribosomal RNA, 169 nt
Filed under: Priolepis cincta (girdled goby)
Lineage: Eukaryota; Metazoa; Chordata; Actinopteri; Gobiiformes; Gobiidae
Description: partial 12S ribosomal RNA
Source: RNAcentral
CACCGCGGUUAUACGAGAGACCCAAGUAGACAGAACCCGGCGUAAAGCGUGAUUAAUACACUGUAAUAACUAAAGUCGAACUUCUUCAAAACUGUUAUACGUUUAUGAAGGUAAGAAGCCCACUAACGAAAGUAACUUUAAAUUAUAUGAAUUCACGAAAGCUCUGGAA